This is a long non-coding RNA of Danaus plexippus (monarch butterfly), 438 nucleotides long. RefSeq lists it as uncharacterized. The record is from RefSeq and is a predicted model, not a curated record. The transcript is spliced from 3 exons. NCBI's taxonomy places the organism in Eukaryota, Metazoa, Arthropoda, Insecta, Lepidoptera, Nymphalidae.
UGUUGUUGUUGAUGGAUGAUCACGGACACCGCGGCGUCAUUACAAGGGACACGGCCACGUGCCUCGCUAGAGAGAUAUUGAACGCGGGUCUGCGAGCACCAGCGCCAGUACGGAGUAGGUAUCAAGUCCUUGUGUUCCCGCGUGUGAUGGAUGGUAUCGUCGAUUACGGCCGGCGCUGACCUGUUCUUUCAUAUCUCGCUAAUGACCGACACCUGCAACCCUUGCUGGAUGGGUCCCGUUUUUGCUAACUUUUCCUUCAUAUUAUGUCUUAUCUCGAUGUCCUUCCAGUAAUGUUUGCUUCGUCAGCACCUGUCGGUGUUUGCUGUCGACUGUCAGAUGUACAAGGGUCAUUACUUAGGCUAUUACAGGACGUCAGUAAUUAAUACAAGCGUUGCCUUUUCGCCCCUGACCUGCGGUCGGGUUAGGUGUGAAAGGGAA